Molecule: ribosomal RNA, 465 nt
Filed under: Vreelandella stevensii
Lineage: Bacteria; Pseudomonadati; Pseudomonadota; Gammaproteobacteria; Oceanospirillales; Halomonadaceae
Description: partial 16S ribosomal RNA
Rfam family: Bacterial small subunit ribosomal RNA
Source: RNAcentral
CCUACGGGUGGCUGCAGUGGGGAAUAUUGGACAAUGGGCGAAAGCCUGAUCCAGCCAUGCCGCGUGUGUGAAGAAGGCCUUCGGGUUGUAAAGCACUUUCAGUGGGGAAGGAAGCCUUGGGGCUAAUACCCUCGAGGAAGGACAUCACCCACAGAAGAAGCACCGGCUAACUCCGUGCCAGCAGCCGCGGUAAUACGGAGGGUGCGAGCGUUAAUCGGAAUUACUGGGCGUAAAGCGCGCGUAGGCGGUCUGAUAAGCCGGUUGUGAAAGCCCCGGGCUCAACCUGGGAACGGCAUCCGGAACUGUCAGGCUAGAGUGCAGGAGAGGAAGGUAGAAUUCCCGGUGUAGCGGUGAAAUGCGUAGAGAUCGGGAGGAAUACCAGUGGCGAAGGCGGCCUUCUGGACUGACACUGACGCUGAGGUGCGAAAGCGUGGGUAGCAAACAGGAUUAGAUACCCCAGUAGUC